Molecule: transfer RNA, 84 nt
Filed under: Janibacter cremeus
Lineage: Bacteria; Bacillati; Actinomycetota; Actinomycetes; Micrococcales; Intrasporangiaceae
Rfam family: tRNA
About the family: Transfer RNA (tRNA) molecules are approximately 80 nucleotides in length. Their secondary structure includes four short double-helical elements and three loops (D, anti-codon, and T loops).
Source: Rfam by way of RNAcentral
GCCGAAGUGGCGGAACAGGCAGACGCGCCAGGUUUAGGUCCUGGUGCCCGAAAGGGUGUGCGGGUUCAAGUCCCGCCUUCGGCA